This 343-nucleotide long non-coding RNA is filed under the name Myripristis murdjan (pinecone soldierfish). RNAcentral describes it as "lncRNA (ENSMMDG00005019950.1)". Lineage: Eukaryota; Metazoa; Chordata; Actinopteri; Holocentriformes; Holocentridae. The record is from RNAcentral.
CAAAGCCACAGUGUGACUGCUUCUGCCGGAACCUGGAGAGUAGUUUUUGGAAACGGGAUCAAACUAGUUGUAGAAUCAAGUGAAUCGUCUGAGCCGUCCUACUACAGGCUGAGUGGACAAGAUGAAAAAGGGAAAAACAUCUCGGCCUGCCUGGCCAGCGACUUCAGCGACUUCAACACCACUAGAGACAGUGUGCUGUUCAAUGGGACGGAGGCGACCCGGAUGGAGGGAGACCGUUUCUACAGCCAGGUGGCGCUGUACAAGCCAGAGGACGGGCAGGAUUGCCCGGAAACAUCUGGACCCGGCUGUGGCGGUGGACUCUUCAGCCCAGACGUGGGGGUGA